This 100-nucleotide small nuclear RNA is filed under the name Myotis davidii. Lineage: Eukaryota; Metazoa; Chordata; Mammalia; Chiroptera; Vespertilionidae. The record is from RNAcentral.
GUGCUCACUUCAGCAGCACAUUUACUAAACAAUACAGAGAAGAUUAGCAUGGCCCCUGCGCAAGGAGGACACACAAAUUCAUGAAGCGUUCCAUAAAACA